Molecule: non-coding RNA, 74 nt
Organism: Candidatus Melainabacteria bacterium
Lineage: Bacteria; Bacillati; Candidatus Melainabacteria
Source: Rfam
CCCUCUGUGGCGCAAUUGGUAGACGCGGUCGGUUCAGGUCUGGCUUGUUGAAGGUUCGACUCCUUUCAGGGGGA